CCUAACCCAUCUUGUCAAUAAAGCCAAACCCCUGGAUAAUCUUAUAUUCAACACCAGAUUAUAGUAGUAAUCACAGAGCAGAGCAAAAUGUAUCUCUGUGUAUAUAAUGCUAAAAUAAAAUACAUUUUAUAAUAAAUAUUAUGAUACUUGAAAUACUGAACUGUGAAAUGCCAAAUAAAGCCUGUUCCACCUUAUGUGCAGUUAUUGUCUUCACCUAUAUUGCAUGUGUCUAAAUUACUCUGCUUAAAAUUAAAUACAAAUUGCAUAUAAAUUGCCACAUUAUGCCACAUAUGGUGUGUGUUACUGUUAAUGUCUGUUCAUUAAAACCUCUGGUGUGCUUGA
Long non-coding RNA from Carassius carassius (crucian carp), 342 nucleotides. RefSeq lists it as uncharacterized. Lineage: Eukaryota; Metazoa; Chordata; Actinopteri; Cypriniformes; Cyprinidae. The transcript is spliced from 2 exons. The record is from RefSeq and is a predicted model, not a curated record.